Long non-coding RNA from Myotis lucifugus (little brown bat), 572 nucleotides. RefSeq lists it as uncharacterized. The transcript is spliced from 3 exons. NCBI's taxonomy places the organism in Eukaryota, Metazoa, Chordata, Mammalia, Chiroptera, Vespertilionidae. The record is from RefSeq and is a predicted model, not a curated record.
UCCACGGCCUGCGGGCUCUGGCUCCCCCGUUCCUGGCCGCUUUCUCCGGAAUAAAGGACAUCGCACUUGUUACUAAACUGUUUUAGUUUUGUCCAUUGGAAGCUUUGGCGACGGGAUGGGCGGGAAGACAGGUGCGGAGGAUUCGGGCCGAGACGCAGGGGAGGACCGCUGCCCGCAGCUCGCCUCUCGACACAGUUAGAAACACUGAUUAUACUCUGAAGGCUUGAACUGGAAUAUAUAUUUGAGAAUGCACAUAGAAGGAACUAAGGUUCACUUUAUGGAGCCAAUGAAACACCUUGGAAAACCAGCCUGGUACCUGCUUACAGGGUUCCCAGCCAGCAGCUUUGCCAGAAAUGUAUCUGAUUGCUUACACAAUAUAGGCCUAACUUUAGGAGCAAACCUGUAUCACCGCCUCCUGCAACCAGAGACACUGUUUAAACAGACCUACUCUCAGCACUAACAGGCUGCUUCAGUGAGCUGGAACCAUCUACCCACUCAACUUUUGGACUAUGAAACUUCUUGGGGACGUUUCAAAGGUGGGGACUGAAAGGAACAGAAUGUGCCACUUUGGC